UGAGGCUUCCCUGUUGGGAAUACGUACGACGAGACAAAGACAAAGUCUUCAAAAUACCUUAGAAAUAAAUAGCUAAGUAGUCAUUCUAAAUUUGAUCAAUAUUCUAAAUUACAGAAUUAUAUAUUGAUAUUCUAUUACGUUCGACAAUCAACAAGUAAAAUGCUUCCUUGGUACCGUCAGCAUCCCAAGGUCUGGUUUCAUCUCGUUAAGAGGGAUUCGGCCUUUGAGCAAUUUUGCAAAUGCUCCCUCAUGUUUUUCGUUGGCAUUCUGAUACUAAAGCGUUUGGGGCGUGGAUUGCCUUCCCUGAAGCUAGUCGAAACUUACCUGAUGCCGAAGAAGAGUUAAAUCAAUGUUGUUGUUGUUUGUAAAAUAUCAAUUCCAACUGUGAUCAACAAUUGAUUGAGUUUAAAAAACGUAAA
Long non-coding RNA from Drosophila nasuta, 419 nucleotides. RefSeq lists it as uncharacterized. The transcript has 2 exons. Lineage: Eukaryota; Metazoa; Arthropoda; Insecta; Diptera; Drosophilidae. The record is from RefSeq and is a predicted model, not a curated record.